CUUAAAUGGGUUGGAAGGGAACAUAAUGCUACAGUGUGGGAGUGCUUAUUCCUUGCAAGACACUGUGGCAGGAAGGAUGGAAACUAAUCUGUAUUGAGGACUUUGCUUGUACCAACCAGGUUAUGAGGUUAUUUUCAUAUAUAUAAUCUCGAUUAUUCUUCACCGUAAUGCUAUGAAAUAUGCAAUUUUCUGAGUCUGUCGCGAUUCCCACAAAUUGACAGAUAAGUCAUGCAGAUGCAAAGUGAAAGCGUAAGGUCACUCAUUUUUAAGUGGCAAAGAAGCUAGAACUGUAGGACUUUUUGCCUUCAACACUUUUCACUAUGCUGUGUUGCCUGGAGGUACAUGCUGUUAGCAUUCCCGAUGAAGUAACUAAUGUGGAAUAGAAAGAGACUUAAACUGUAUAAAAUAUACUUGCAUUUUCUGUAACCAUUUACGGAAAACAGGAAGUUUCUCAUUUCUAGAGAGUGAAACCUGGAAGAGGCAGUCCUUUCAGAUAGUCUGAGAUAUAUGGCCAAAAAAAUAUCUGCGGCAGUGACAUAGCAGGCUACCUGGAACAAUGCAGUGGCAGUUUGACGUGACCUUUCUCAGUAUAGCUAGCUGGGGUGAAUCAUAUGCUAGUGUUCUCAUCUGGUUGAAUUUUUUACAUCCGG
RNAcentral lists this long non-coding RNA (650 nucleotides) under Homo sapiens (human). RNAcentral describes it as "HSALNT0370728". The record is from RNAcentral. Lineage: Eukaryota; Metazoa; Chordata; Mammalia; Primates; Hominidae.